UACGGAGGGGGCGAGCGUUAUUCGGAAUUAUUGGGCGUAAAGGGCGCGUAGGCGGCUUGAUGUGUCAAAGGUGAAAUCCCUCGGCUCAACUGAGGAACUGCCUUUGAAACUGUCUGGCUUGAGGCCGGGAGAGGGUAGCGGAAUUCCCAGUGUAGCGGUGAAAUGCGUAGAUACUGGGAGGAACACCGGUGGCGAAGGCGGCUACCAGGACCGGUUCUGACGCUGAUGCGCGAAAGCGUGGGUAGCAAACAGG
RNAcentral lists this ribosomal RNA (253 nucleotides) under uncultured bacterium. RNAcentral's name for it is "partial 16S ribosomal RNA". It matches the Rfam family "Bacterial small subunit ribosomal RNA", at positions 524 to 776 of the family's 1533-position model. The record is from RNAcentral.